Molecule: ribosomal RNA, 182 nt
Filed under: Pelinobius muticus (king baboon spider)
Lineage: Eukaryota; Metazoa; Arthropoda; Arachnida; Araneae; Theraphosidae
Description: partial 28S ribosomal RNA
Rfam family: Eukaryotic large subunit ribosomal RNA
Source: RNAcentral
GAGGUCGUUCCCUGCGCGGGGUUUCWGGCGGCUCGCGGCGAGUAGGUCGGUCACCCACCCGACCCGUCUUGAAACACGGACCAAGGAGUCUAACAUGUGCGCGAGUCACGGGGUCUUGUUCAGGCCCAGAGGCGCAAUGAAAGUAAAGGGCGGUCUCGASGCCGCCCGUGUUGGGACUCCUC